This 468-nucleotide ribosomal RNA is filed under the name uncultured bacterium. Its description in RNAcentral is "partial 16S ribosomal RNA". It matches the Rfam family "Bacterial small subunit ribosomal RNA", at positions 28 to 507 of the family's 1533-position model. The record is from RNAcentral.
GACGAACGCUGGCGGCGUGCUUAACACAUGCAAGUCGAACGGAAAGGCCCGGCUUUUGUGGGGUGCUCGAGUGGCGAACGGGUGAGUAACACGUGAGUAACCUGCCCUUGACUGUGGGAUAACUUCAGGAAACAGGGGCUAAUACCCGAUAGGAUCUCCUGCUGCACGGUGGGGGUUGGAAAGUUACGGCGGUUUGGGAUGGACUAGCGGCUUAUCAGCUUGAUGGGGGGGUAGUGGAUUACCAAGGCUUUGACGGCUAGCCGGCCUGGGAGGGUGACCGGCGACAUUGGGACUGCGGUACGGCGCAGAAUCCUACGGGCGGCAGCAGUCGAGAAUAUUGCGGAAUGGGCGGAAGCCUGAUGCAGCAACGCCGCGUGCGGGAUGACGGCCUUCGGGUUGUAAACCGCUUUCGCCUGUGACGAAGCGUGAGUGACGGUAAUGGGUAAAGAAGCACCGGCUAACUACGUG